RNAcentral lists this non-coding RNA (30 nucleotides) under Rattus norvegicus (Norway rat). Lineage: Eukaryota; Metazoa; Chordata; Mammalia; Rodentia; Muridae. The record is from RNAcentral.
UGGAACGAGCACAUCCUGCCUUGGUUAUAA